Molecule: ribosomal RNA, 440 nt
Filed under: uncultured bacterium
Lineage: Bacteria
Description: partial 16S ribosomal RNA
Rfam family: Bacterial small subunit ribosomal RNA
Source: RNAcentral
CCUACGGGAGGCAGCAGUGAGGAAUAUUGGUCAAUGGGCGGAAGCCUGAUGCAGCGACGCCGCGUGAGUGAAGAAGUAUUUCGGUAUGUAAAGCUCUAACAGCAGGGAAGAAAAUGACGGUACCUGAUUAAGAAGCCCCGGCUAACUACGUGCCAGCAGCCGCGGUAAUACGUAGGGGGCAAGCGUUAUCCGGAUUUACUGGGUGUAAAGGGAGCGUAGACGGCAGCACAAGUCUGGAGUGAAAUGCCGGUGUUUAACCCCGGAACUGCUUUGGAAACUGUGCAGCUAGAGUGCAGGAGAGGUAAGUGGAAUUCCUAGUGUAGCGGUGAAAUGCGUAGAUAUUAGGAGGAACACCAGUGGCGAAGGCGGCUUACUGGACUGUAACUGACGUUGAGGCUCGAAAGCGUGGGGAGCAAACAGGAUUAGAUACCCUUGUAGUC